RNAcentral lists this ribosomal RNA (440 nucleotides) under uncultured bacterium. RNAcentral describes it as "partial 16S ribosomal RNA". It matches the Rfam family "Bacterial small subunit ribosomal RNA", at positions 338 to 795 of the family's 1533-position model. The record is from RNAcentral.
CCUACGGGCGGCAGCAGUAAGGAAUAUUGCUCAAUGGGGGAAACCCUGAAGCAGCAACGCCGCGUGGAGGAUGAAGGUUUUCGGAUUGUAAACUCCUUUUGUUAGAGAAGAUAAUGACGGUAUCUAACGAAUAAGCACCGGCUAACUCCGUGCCAGCAGCCGCGGUCAUACGGAGGGUGCAAGCGUUACUCGGAAUCACUGGGCGUAAAGAGCGCGUAGGCGGGAUAGCAAGUCAGAUGUGAAAUCCUAUGGCUUAACCAUAGAACUGCAGUUGAAACUGUUAUUCUAGAGUAUGGGAGAGGUAGGUGGAAUUCUUGGUGUAGGGGUAAAAUCCGUAGAGAUCAAGAGGAAUUCCCAUUGCGAAGGCGAUCUGCUAGAACAUAACUGACGCUGAUGCGCGAAAGCGUGGGGAGCAAACAGGAUUAGAUACCCUUGUAGUC